Molecule: ribosomal RNA, 390 nt
Filed under: uncultured bacterium
Lineage: Bacteria
Description: bacterial SSU rRNA
Rfam family: Bacterial small subunit ribosomal RNA
Source: RNAcentral
AGUGAACGCUGGCGGCAGGCCUAACACAUGCAAGUCGAGCGGCAGCGGGCUGUAGCAAUACAGUGCCGGCGAGCGGCGGACGGGUGAGGAAUACAUCGGAAUCUACCUUGUCGUGGGGGAUAACGUAGGGAAACUUACGCUAAUACCGCAUACGAACUACGGUUGAAAGCGGAGGACCGCAAGGCUUCGCGCGAUUGGAUGAGCCGAUGUCGGAUUAGCUAGUUGGCGGGGUAAUGGCCCACCAAGGCGACGAUCCGUAGCUGGUCUGAGAGGAUGAUCAGCCACACUGGAACUGAGACACGGUCCAGACUCCUACGGGAGGCAGCAGUGGGGAAUAUUGGACAAUGGGCGAAAGCCUGACGCAGCGACGCCGCGUGGGUGAUGAAGGCC